CCCAUAAGCGGAGGAAAAGAAACCAACUGGGAUUACCUUAGUAACGGCGAGUGAAGCGGUAAAAGCUCAAAUUUGAAAUCUGGUACUUUCAGUGCCCGAGUUGUAAUUUGUAGAAUUUGUCUUUGAUUAGGUCCUUGUCUAUGUUCCUUGGAACAGGACGUCAUAGAGGGUGAGAAUCCCGUUUGGCGAGGAUACCUUUUCUCUGUAAGACUUUUUCGAAGAGUCGAGUUGUUUGGGAAUGCAGCUCAAAGUGGGUGGUAAAUUCCAUCUAAAGCUAAAUAUUGGCGAGAGACCGAUAGCGAACAAGUACAGUGAUGGAAAGAUGAAAAGAACUUUGAAAAGAGAGUGAAAAAGUACGUGAAAUUGUUGAAAGGGAAGGGCAUUUGAUCAGACAUGGUGUUUUUUGCAUGCACUCGCCUCUCGUGGGCUUGGGCCUCUCAAAAAUUUCACUGGGCCAACAUCAAUUCUGGCAGCAGGAUAAAUCAUUAAGAAUGUAGCUACUUCGGUAGUGUUAUAGCUUUUUGGAAUACUGUUAGCCGGGAUUGAGGACUGCGCUUCGGCAAGGAUGUUGGCAUAAUGGUUAAAUGCCGCCCGUCUUG
Molecule: ribosomal RNA, 599 nt
Filed under: Hanseniaspora uvarum
Lineage: Eukaryota; Fungi; Ascomycota; Saccharomycetes; Saccharomycodales; Saccharomycodaceae
Description: eukaryotic LSU rRNA
Rfam family: Eukaryotic large subunit ribosomal RNA
Source: RNAcentral